UCGGAUUUGGGUCGGAUCCGGAUCUCAAAUUUCAAGAUCCAAAUUCAGAUUCGUUUUAAAAAAUGAGAUCCAAAUCCGCGGAUCCAAAAAAUUGAGAUCCAGGUCCGUAAAACAGAUCUAGAUCCACGAAUCUGGACCGGGUCCAGGAUCCAUUGCCAUCCGUAAACAUAUCAUAAGCAGCUAUAAAAGGAAAGCAAGGUCCCCCCAAUAUUUCAAACAUAAACAUUUAAAGAGCGAAAAAGAAGAAGAGAAAAUAUGGAUUAUUUUCCUCUUCUGGCUGCACUCUUUUUCAUCAGCGCCGCAACAUGGUUUAUCUCCUCCCGGCGGCGGAGUAACCUCCCACCGGGGCCAUUCCCGUAUCCGAUCGUCGGAAACAUGCUGCAGCUGGGGGCCCAACCCCACGAGACAUUCGCCAAACUGUCAAAGAAAUACGGCCCGCUGAUGUCGGUCCAUCUCGGCAGCCUGUACACCGUGAUCGUGUCCUCGCCGGAGAUGGCGAAAGAGAUCAUGCUGAAAUACGGGACGGUGUUCUCCGGCAGAACGGUGGCGCAGGCGGUGCACGCGUGCGACCACGACAAGAUCUCGAUGGGGUUCCUCCCGAUCGGGGCGGAGUGGCGCGACAUGCGCAAGAUAUGCAAAGAGCAGAUGUUCUCGCACCAGAGCAUGGAAGACAGCCAGGGCCUCCGCAAGCAGAAGCUGCAGCAGCUGCUCGACCACGCCCACAGAUGCUCCGAGCAGGGCCGCGCCAUCGACAUCCGCGAGGCCGCCUUCAUCACCACCCUCAACCUCAUGUCCGCCACCCUCUUCUCCAUGCAGGCCACCGAGUUCGACUCCAAGGUCACCAUGGAGUUCAAGGAGAUCAUCGAGGGCGUCGCCAGCAUCGUCGGCGUCCCCAACUUCGCCGACUACUUCCCCAUCCUCCGCCCCUUCGACCCGCAGGGGGUCAAGCGCAGGGCCGACGUCUACUUCGGCAGACUGCUGGCUCUAAUCGAGGGCUAUCUCAACGACAGAAUCCAAUCCAGAAAGGCCAACCCCGACGCCCCCAAGAAGGAUGACUUCCUCGAGACGCUCGUCGAUAUUCUCAACUCCAACGACAACAAGCUCAAGACCGAUCACCUCCUGCAUCUCAUGCUCGACCUCUUCGUCGGGGGUUCGAGACGAGCACCACCGAGAUCGAGUGGAUCAUGGAGGAGCUCGUGGCGCACCCGGACAAGAUGGCCAAGGUGAAGGCGGAGCUGAAGAGCGUGAUGGGGGAUGGAGAAGGUGGUGGACGAGUCGCUCAUGCCCAGGCUGCCGUAUCUGCAAGCGGUCGUCAAGGAUCCAUGCGGCUGCACCCGCCGGGCCCACUCCUUCUUCCUCGCAAGGCGGAGAGCGAUCAAGUCGUCAACGGCUACCUCAUCCNUAUAUAUAUAUUAUAAAUAUAAUUCAGUUUUCGGUUUGUCGGUUUUAAAAAAUCCGAACCGAACCGAAUCGAAAACCGAAAUUUUAUGAAAAAAAAUUGAACCGAACCGAAAACCGAAAAACCGAACCAUAUUUUAAAAUUCCGGUUUGGAUCGGUUCGGUUAUUCGGUUUCAGAUUUUUUGCUCACCCCUACAGAAAAUGCAAAGCCUUUCCACCAAUUUCGUUCCAUUCUUAUACAAUAAAAUAAACUUAGAUUAAAAGAGUCAAAAUUGGUAGGCAUAAUGUGGGGACCAUGACCCCUACAUAAAAUAACGUACCUAGGGAUGGCUCUAUCUGACCUAGGGAUGGCAACAAGCCAUCAAUAUCAGAUCUAGAUCGUGGAUCUAAAAAUUUAGAUUCCAUGAUUUUACAUUUUUAAAUAAAUUAAAAAAAAAUUACAAAAAUUCCACAAAAUUUAAUUUUUCAUCAUGAAAAACUAGAAAGUAGGAGCGGUCCGAGAAGGUGAUCAGCGAGCUGGAGUGAUCUAAGAGGUUCGAGAAGGUGGCCGACGAACUGAAGAGGGAGAUGGAAGUGAGGCGGCGGGUUCACGAGUGAGGGACCGAGAGGGAGAAAGUAGAAAGUAGAAACUAGAAACUAGGGUUUGCAAAGUAAUUCUAAUUUAUCUAUUAUUUUUAAUUUUUAAUAUAUCUAAUAUUAUUAAUAAAAUAAAUAUAAAAAAUAAAUAAUAUAUAUUAUAUAAAAUAGAUCUACAGGUCGGAUCAGGGUCGGAUCCGGAUCUCAAAUUUCAAGAUCCAAAUCCAGAUUCGUUUUAAAAAAUGAGAUCCAGAUCCGCAGGUCCAAAAAAUUGAAAUCCAGGUCCAUAAAACGGAUCUAAAAUCCACGAAUCUGGACCGGAUCCAGGAUCCAUUGCCAUCCGUGAUAUGAUUAGUUCCGUAAACAGUAUACAUAAGCAGCUAUAAAGGAAAGCAAGGUCCCCCAAUAUUCAAACAUAAACAUUUAAAGAGCGAAAAGAAGAAGUAGAAAUAUGGAUUAUUUUCCUCUUCUGGCUGCACUCUUUUUCAUCAGCGCCGCAACGAUGGUUUAUCUCUUCCCGGCGGCGGAGGAACCUCCCACCGGGGCCAUUCCCGUAUCCGAUCGUCGGAAACAUGCUGCAGCUGGGGCCCAACCCACGAGACAUUCGCCAAACUGUCAAAGAAAUACGGCCCGCUGAUGUCGGUCCACCUCGGCAGCCUGUACACCGUGAUCGUGUCCUCGCCGGAGAUGGCGAAAGAGAUCAUGCUGAAAUACGGGACGGUGUUCUCCGGCAGAACGGUGGCGCAGGCGGUGCACGCGUGCGACCACGACAAGAUCUCGAUGGGGUUCCUCCCGAUCGGG
Molecule: long non-coding RNA, 2776 nt
Filed under: Salvia miltiorrhiza (redroot sage)
Lineage: Eukaryota; Viridiplantae; Streptophyta; Magnoliopsida; Lamiales; Lamiaceae
Description: long non-coding RNA (SMIL_LNC007064)
Source: RNAcentral